Molecule: ribosomal RNA, 497 nt
Filed under: uncultured bacterium
Lineage: Bacteria
Description: partial 16S ribosomal RNA
Rfam family: Bacterial small subunit ribosomal RNA
Source: RNAcentral
GAUGAACGCUGGCGGCGUGCCUAAUACAUGCAAGUCGAGCGAACAGACGAGGAGCUUGCUCCUCUGACGUUAGCGGCGGACGGGUGAGUAACACGUGGAUAACCUACCUAUAAGACUGGGAUAACUUCGGGAAACCGGAGCUAAUACCGGAUAAUAUAUUGAACCGCAUGGUUCAAUAGUGAAAGACGGUUUUGCUGGCACUUAUCGAUGGAUCCCCGCCGCAUUAGGUAGUUGGUAAGGUAACGGCUUACCACGGCAACGAUGCGUAGCCGACCUGAGAGAGUGAUCGGCCACACUGGAACUGAGACACGGUCCAGACUCCUACGGGAGGCAGCAGUAGGGAAUCUUCCGCAAUGGGCGAAAGCCUGACGGAGCAACGCCGCGUGAGUGAUGAAGGUCUUCGGAUCGUAAAACUCUGUUAUUAGGGAAGAACAAAUGUGUAAGUAACUAUGCACGUCUUGACGGUACCUAAUCAGAAAGCCACGGCUAACUACGUG